This 253-nucleotide ribosomal RNA is filed under the name uncultured bacterium. RNAcentral describes it as "partial 16S ribosomal RNA". It matches the Rfam family "Bacterial small subunit ribosomal RNA", at positions 524 to 776 of the family's 1533-position model. The record is from RNAcentral.
UACGUAGGGUGCAAGCGUUAAUCGGAAUUACUGGGCGUAAAGCGUGCGCAGGCGGUGAUGUAAGACAGAUGUGAAAUCCCCGGGCUCAACCUGGGAAUUGCAUUCGAAACUGCGAGGCUAGGGUACGGAAGAGGGAAGCGGAAUUUCUGGUGUAGCGGUGAAAUGCGUAGAUAUCAGAAGGAACAUCAGUGGCGAAAGCGGCUUCCUGGUCCAGUACCGACGUUCAGGCACGAAAGCGUGGGGAGCAAACAGG